GAUGAACGCUGGCGGCGUGCCUAAUACAUGCAAGUCGAGCGAACGGACGAGAAGCUUGCUUUUCUGAUGUUAGCGGCGGACGGGUGAGUAACACGUGGAUAACCUACCUAUAAGACUGGGAUAACUUCGGGAAACCGGAGCUAAUACCGGAUAAUAUUUUGAACCGCAUGGUUCAAAAGUGAAAGACGGUCUUGCUGUCACUUAUAGAUGGAUCCGCGCUGCAUUAGCUAGUUGGUAAGGUAACGGCUUACCAAGGCAACGAUGCAUAGCCGACCUGAGAGGGUGAUCGGCCACACUGGAACUGAGACACGGUCCAGACUCCUACGGGAGGCAGCAGUAGGGAAUCUUCCGCAAUGGGCGAAAGCCUGACGGAGCAACGCCGCGUGAGUGAUGAAGGUCUUCGGAUCGUAAAACUCUGUUAUUAGGGAAGAACAUAUGUGUAAGUAACUGUGCACAUCUUGACGGUACCUAAUCAGAAAACCACGGCUACUACGUG
This 496-nucleotide ribosomal RNA is filed under the name uncultured bacterium. RNAcentral's name for it is "partial 16S ribosomal RNA". It matches the Rfam family "Bacterial small subunit ribosomal RNA", at positions 28 to 507 of the family's 1533-position model. The record is from RNAcentral.